RNA transcript from Arachis duranensis, 2283 nucleotides. It is a transcript of the gene named heat shock factor protein HSF8, with no coding region annotated. The transcript is spliced from 4 exons. The record is from RefSeq and is a predicted model, not a curated record. NCBI's taxonomy places the organism in Eukaryota, Viridiplantae, Streptophyta, Magnoliopsida, Fabales, Fabaceae.
UAGAUUUGAAACGCUGCUUUUUCUCUCUCCCAUAAUCGCCUGCUGUGACGCUGUCCCCCUACAGAGGGAAGAAAACCCUUUCUUUCCUCAUUCCCAUAAAAUUCAAACCAUACUUCCAUUUCCUCUCUCUCUCCAAUCUAUCCACGCUUCAUAAAUCUUACUCUCUCUCAAGUUUCAAUACACGCGCACACACACUCUCUUUCUUUCCUCAAUCCUCCAUCAUCUAGGGUUUACAUUUUUUCAACAAUGCCCCUGUAUUCCCAACCUUCCGUAACAUUUUAGAUCAUUCUCUUAUUCUUUAAUUAUUAUCAAUCCCUAGAUUUACUUAUUCAUAUUUCCAAGGGAAUGGAUGCGAGUACCAGCGGUGGAGAUGGCGGUGGCGGAGGAAGCACUAACGGGGCCACGCCGGCGCCGGCGCCGGUACCGAUUCCGAACGCGAACGCGCCGCCGCCGUUCCUGAGCAAGACGUACGACAUGGUGGACGACCCUUCAACGGACGCAAUCGUGUCGUGGAGCGCUACAAACAACAGCUUUGUGGUUUGGAACCCACCGGAAUUCGCGAGAGACCUUUUGCCGAAAUACUUCAAGCACAACAACUUUUCCAGCUUCGUUAGACAGCUCAACACUUAUGGUUUUAGGAAGGUUGAUCCAGAUCGAUGGGAAUUUGCAAAUGAGGGCUUUUUGAGGGGCCAAAAGCACUUGCUUAGGAAUAUAACACGAAGAAAACCUGCCCAUGGUCAUCAUCAACAAUCUCAGCAAUCACAUGUACAAAAUUCAUCAGUAGGGGCAUGCGUAGAAGUUGGUAAGUUUGGGCUCGAGGAAGAGGUUGAGAGGCUUAAAAGAGACAAAAAUGUGCUCAUGCAGGAACUUGUCAGGCUGAAGCAGCAACAACAGACCACUGAUGGCCAACUGCAAACAAUGGUUCAACGCCUUCAGGGCAUGGAGCAAAGACAACAACAAAUGAUGUCAUUCCUUGCUAAAGCCGUACAGAGCCCUGGCUUCUUUGCGCAGUUCGUACAACAGCAAAAUGAGAAUAAUAGGCGUAUAAGUGAAGUCAACAAAAAGCGCCGGCUCAAGCAAGAAGGUAUUGCUGAAACUGACUCUGCUGCUGCUCCUGAUGGGCAAAUUGUUAAGUAUCAACCUCUGAUUAACGAUUCAGCAAAAGCAAUGCUAAGACAGAUCAUGAAAUGGGAUACUUCUCGAGCAGAAUCUUUUAGUAAAGACCCUGAUAAUUACCUGAUUGGUGAUGGUUCGUCAUCCUCAUCUGGUGCGAUGGACAGUGGCAGCUCCUCAAGCUGGACCUCUGGAGUAACACUUCAGGAGGUCCCGCCAACUUCAGUGCAGUCUUCUCAUGUUCCAAUUACUCCGGGGGCUCCAGGGCAUGUUCCCUCAGCUGCCAAACCUGAAAUUCAAUCUUUACCACAGGCUGGAGUUCCUGAAAAGGUUACAAGGGUUGGAGCAUCUGACAUACCUUCUAUCCAUGUUCCUCAAGCAGAUGUCAUCAUGCCUGAUCUUGCACCAAUAGAUGAAAUAGAGUCUGGAAGUAUGCUUGGUAUUCCGGAAGAUAAUUAUAUGGCUCCUGAAGCUGGUGAUGAGGGAUUUAUGGAUCCUGAUUCAUUGGGGGUUAGUGGAUCAUUUCCCAUUGAUUUUGAAGGAAUUUCACCUGAUGCGGACCUUGAUGACUUCUUAGGAAAUCCAUCUAUUUGGGAUGACCUUUUGCAAACCCCAGUGCAAGAGGAUACUGAGACUGAUAUUGAAGCUUCCAAAGUUAAUGAGGUGCAACCAGCCGAAAAUGGUUGGGAUAAAACUCAACAUUUGGAUCAACUUACAAAGCAGAUGGGUCAUCUUUCUUCUGAAGCAAAAUAGAGCGCUUGAUUACCUGUAAAAUUUGAUUGAACUUUCAUGUUGCCUAAGGAAAUGUGUGAUGCUUGAAUACCAGUGAAUCGCAUAAAAGUUCUUCUCCCAUCUUUAAGUUUCAAUUUGAGGGGGGGAAUGAGAAAAACAGAGAAGACAUUGUUACUGAUUGUUGAAGGUAUCUGAAAAGUCCGAAUUGAUUCUUGACGGUUACCAUGUCAACCUAGGGCCUGUUUAAUUCCCAGUCUUGUUAUCAUUUCUCGAGGUGUGCUUGUGUAAAAAGUGGAAAUGAAAGAGGUGCACUCUUUAACAUGAAGUUGGAAAUUUGACUCUAACUGUAUUUUGCGUUGGACAAAAAGAAAUUUUAUUUGAGCUCAAGCCAAAACACGAGGAAACUACUAUUUCUACCCAUGAAAAUUCUAAACACUG